CACUAACAAAUCUCCUUCUAGAUGAAAGAGCUACUUCGAUGGGCUCGGAUCUCCUCAUCCAUAAGCCAAGGACCAUAUCGGGCCCUUAUCAUCGAAUUCCAUAGACUCUCCAACUCGAGCACUAGUUUGACCACGUGCCAAGCGAUCAGAGCCUCUCGUCUCAUCACUAAGGUUUGGAUGCCCCAGCCACAAUCUCUCAACGAUUGGCAGAGCACGUCCCAGGCCAGUAGAUUCACGCCUUAGCAUCCCGAAUUUGAGCCCC
RNAcentral lists this long non-coding RNA (262 nucleotides) under Elaeis guineensis (African oil palm). RNAcentral's name for it is "long non-coding RNA (EGUI_LNC072235)". Lineage: Eukaryota; Viridiplantae; Streptophyta; Magnoliopsida; Arecales; Arecaceae. The record is from RNAcentral.